GAUGAAGAACGCAGCGAAAUGCGAUAAGUAGUGUGAAUUGCAGAAUUCAGUGAAUCAUCGAAUCUUUGAACGCACAUUGCGCCCCAUGGUAUUCCGUGGGGCAUGCCUGUUCGAGCGUCAUUUACCCCCUCAAGCUCCGCUUGGUGUUGGGCGUCUGUCCCGCUUCGCGCGCGGACUCGCCCCAAAGGUAUUGGCAGCGGUCGUGCCAGCUUCUCGCGCAGCACAUUGCGCUUCUCGAGGCACCGGUGGGCCCGCGUCCAUCAAGCUUACCCCCCCAGUUUGACCUCGGAUCAGGUAGGGAUACCCGCUGAACUUAAGCAUAUCAAUAAGCGGAGGA
RNAcentral lists this unclassified non-coding RNA (337 nucleotides) under soil metagenome. RNAcentral describes it as "partial contains 5.8S ribosomal RNA, internal transcribed spacer 2, and large subunit ribosomal RNA". The stretch from base 1 to 120 matches the Rfam family "5.8S ribosomal RNA", at positions 35 to 154 of the family's 154-position model. The record is from RNAcentral.